AAUCAGCUGAUGAGUCUCAAAUAGGACGAAACGCGCAUCACACUGAAU
Molecule: non-coding RNA, 48 nt
Organism: Schistosoma curassoni
Lineage: Eukaryota; Metazoa; Platyhelminthes; Trematoda; Strigeidida; Schistosomatidae
Source: Rfam